Molecule: ribosomal RNA, 113 nt
Filed under: archaeon
Lineage: Archaea
Source: RNAcentral
UUAGACGGCCAUAGUAUUUUGGUUACACCUGAUCCCAUUCCGAACUCAGAAGUUAAGCUUGAUAUGUUCGUGUUUGUACUGUCUAACGAUGGGAACGCACGAAGCUGUCUAUU